Molecule: ribosomal RNA, 305 nt
Filed under: uncultured bacterium
Lineage: Bacteria
Description: bacterial SSU rRNA
Rfam family: Bacterial small subunit ribosomal RNA
Source: RNAcentral
UUGCUCCUACGGGACGCAGCAGUAGGGAAUUUUCGUCAAUGGGCGCAAGCCUGAACGAGCAAUGCCGCGUGAACGAGGAAGGUCUUCGGAUCGUAAAGUUCUGUUGAAGGGGAAAAAGAGCGGAGAGAGGAAAUGCUUUCUGAUUGAUAUUACCCUUCGAGGAAGUCACGGCUAACUACGUGCCAGCAGCCGCGGUAAUACGUAGGUGGCGAGCGUUAUCCGGAAUGAUUGGGCGUAAAGGGUGCGUAGGCGGCCUGCUAAGUCUGGAGUGAAAGGUACCGGCUCAACCGGUACAGGCUCUGGAA